Columba livia (rock pigeon) is the source of this 6621-nucleotide long non-coding RNA. RefSeq lists it as uncharacterized. The record is from RefSeq and is a predicted model, not a curated record. The transcript is spliced from 2 exons. NCBI's taxonomy places the organism in Eukaryota, Metazoa, Chordata, Aves, Columbiformes, Columbidae.
CCUCUGCAGAAAUGCUAUUAGUCAUUUAUCAGACAUAGGCUCUGUCAGCUGAUACAAAACCAGAGAGGAGUAUGGCCCAGACAACAAUAUAAACCUUCUCGGGUAACAGAGUCAUCCCUAAAUCAAAUUCCCAGUCUGGGCCCAACCAAAGAACCUGCUUUUAAUAAAGGAUUGUCAGUCUUAGGCUCCCUCCUUCCAAACACGUACAUUAGCGGGAUCAAGACCUACCCAACAGGGCUUUACCCACUGCUGUAAUAACACAGGAUUAAGGACUAGAAUUACAGGAUGAUGAUACAGCGCGACAAAAAGGUGUUACCUGCGUAUGUUUUGGGAGGACAUUUCAGAUGACCGAUGGAGCAGAAACUGCACUGCUCAUACCAAAUAAGGAGCACUGAAAACGUUCCUUCCAGGUCUUGUUACUUUCUUCGUAAAGUGCUCUGUCAGAGAGAACUGAGUCAAAGACCAUUUCAGUGUUUGAUCCUGUGCUGCCUCUGUCUGCCAUGCACCCUCUCCCCAACACACACGCACCGAGGAAAGCAGAAACAUCCUGGCUUCUUUGAACAAUUAACCCUAAUUCAGGGGAAAGAUAAAUUUUGAAGGGGGUCAGGUUCUCCUCCCCUGUGCACCUGGUAUAGUCAUUUGCAAGUAUGUAGCCUCAUAAAUGGGUACAAAUUACUACAAUCAGUGACUGGAAAAUUUUAAGUUAUUUGCAUUUAUCACGUACUUUGCAGAUGGAUAACAGUAACCAGGUGCAGGGAAGUCGAGAAUCAGGUCCUAUGUUGGUUGCACUGUUACUUAGUAGCAAGUGUAACACCAAAUGCACCUUCUAAAAACAAAUGGCAGUCACUACUUGUUAAUACACAUUGAGUUACACAAUAUUCUGAGAAAUACAAAGACCUUACAUCCUUUCCCCCGGGGAAGAAAAGUUUGCAAUAUUGCUUGUGUUCUGGUUCAGCAAGAGCCAAGGGGUGGUCAGAGCUGUGGAGCUGUUAGAUGGCUGAUCUUCAAGGAAAGGUAAGAUCUGGCAGGCAGGUGAGGCAAUGCAGGGAAAUGAGUUUAGCAUGUGGCUCUAACUUAGCCUGAGGUACAAAAUGAGUCUCAGGUGUCCACUGAUCAUCCACAGAAAAAGUGGCUCUGCUUGAAGCUCCUUCUCAUUACAGCAACAGAGGAAGCCCUGGAGAGAUGAAGCGACAGCCACGUUCUGCUGCCUGUAAUUAUGUGAGGAAGUGAGAGAUGGUGACUCAUGGCUCAGGGGCAGCAGGAGCACAGCUAUGACACCACCGCGUGGCCCUGGAUUAGGAGGUGGAUACUCACAAGAACGUGUUACUUUGUGCAGACAGUUACAUUACAUCACUUGUAAAAAUGGAUCGAGUGUGUUUUACUAGGCACUACUAUUUCUGCAUUUAACGCACUCAGUGUAUAAUUCAGACUCAGCAUGGCAUCUUGAAACUCUGCAAAGAUUUGUCCAUUCACUCUCUUUAAAGCCACAGUCCUCAUCCCCACUUCUGCUUUUUCAUCCAGGAUUUUUCUCUCUUUCUGCCAUCCACAGUGUUUGACUUGGCACAACCCAGUGCUGCCCCAUGGCCCCCACCCUGAGCUUGUCCCUGUUUUACCAGAACACACUAACACAAGGCUCCCUCAGAUGCCAAGGUAUUUCACUGGCUGUCCUACGUGGAAAUAGAUGAGUAGGUGUAUUACUGCUUGUGAACGAGCACAGACUGACCACAGGCUUCAUGGACUUUCUUAUUCAAGACAUUAACACAGUUUGCUGUCCAAGCCUUGAGAUAUUUCUGGAACCCAUCCAUGAGAGAGAGGAAGAACAGCAGGUGGGCCAGAAUACGUAGUUUUAGGGUCUGGAUUUUGCAACAGAACUGAACAAGCACAAACUGCUGUACAAGUGCUUCCUAUUCUCCUAAUACAGAAGGUGAAAUUGUAUCUGGAGAAAUUGUAUCUGUAGGGUUUUCCCCUGGCUAGAGCUUCAUUCUCUGUUAGUGUAACUGUCGGCAAAUGGUGAUUUUGGCAACAAACUUGCCAAAACACUGACUUCCCUGUUGCUCAUGUCCAAUUUACUGAAUGUCUAUGAUUCUAGAUUUAAACUGUUGAUUUUUUCAACGUAUCUAUGCCAUGGCUGUCAAUGAGCACUCAUGCAAAACCCACUCCUAACUAAUAAUUUCAGUUAAUUUGCUUACUUGCAUCUCCAAAUAUGACUAAAAACAACUCCCACCUUUUAAAAUGCCUUUUUUUGGUUUCCAGUUGUAGGAGUCUGCAUGCUAACACUGAAAUCCUGAUCUGACUGCUGCUCUAAUUUGCAUGAGUAUAAAUCAGGAACAGCUGUCUGGUAUACAUGAACUCACAGCCAGAACAUUUAAUUUUUAGGAGGGCAGAUUAGCAAAGGCAAAGGCAGAACCCAGGAAAAAGAAAGGGAUCGUAAAGUAGAAAAGUGAUGGAGCCAGGCACACAGAGGAUACUGUGUCCCCAAAUAGUUCAGCGUCAAAUAACAAAAAUAACUAUAACUUCAUUGCUUUAAGAGCUCAAUUAACCAUGGAGUUACACAGUAGCAAGGAGACACAUCUAAGAAUAAAAGAUUAUAUCAAGUCGAUAUGUCCAGCUAAGGCCUUUCUUUGGUCCAUGCCUGAACCUGUCUUUUGCUCUGUGACCUGAAAUUUAAUCUUUUGUGAAUUAAAUACCCUAAACGUAAUCCUCUGUGAAAUUAAUAUGUAAUCAUCCCUCCAUUAUCAGGGGAAACGGGGUUGAAAAAACUGAAAGAUGGAAAACCUAGAUAAUAGAAGAACUUCUGGGCUAGAGUUGUCCUGUUUAUAAACACUGUGCCCCAGUGUAAACAUCCUGCUCAGUUAAGCUGCAAAGUGCAGAACCAGUUUAGACAUCACUGCAAGUCUAACAUGGCUUAUUCCCAAACUGAGUCAGGCAUCCAGAAAUAAUGGAGAAUAAACUCUGGUUUUUACUGUUACUACAGUGCGCAGGAAUUUUAAUUCGUGUUUGUAAAGUGUGAUGUAGUGAUCUAGAUAGCGUUGUGAUGGUUUUGCAAGCAUCAAUAAAAUAGUCAUUAAAAUGCAAAAAUAAUUUCAAGAAGAAUAAGAUGUCAGCUCUUAAAUAGAAUUGAAGUAACAUAAGUAUCCAGUUGCAGGAAUGAAAGACUUCAUCUAGGGAGAACAGCAACAUCGUACUCCUCAACGCACUGUGGAGGGAGGCAGGAAAGCACUCUCAACUUCCAAAACUAACGAAGAAAAAUACCUGCAAAUUCCAGGAAAAGGAUGAAAAACACUUCAGGCCUGGUAGAUUAUGAUUAUUAACACAUUAGCUUUCCCCAGGUUAUGCUGAAGCCUGUUUACGGAGCUCACUCUGCACGUUUGCUUGUUCUCCCCGGUCGUUGUUUGGAUAAAGAAGCUGAAGACUGAAGCAAAAUUUUCCAGUGCCUGGGUAUACAAAACCUGCCUUCUGGGGGAACGGCAUCAUUUGAAGAAUUUGACAGAACACAUUAGAUUGGAAGCAGAAUAAUCAUCCCACAAACAACCAGAAAAUCAAGUUUAUGAAUAACACACCGAGAAAGACAGCCUGCUUCCGGAUCUGUGAAAAGAGAAAGACAAAACUCAGGAGCUGGGCUGACCGCUGCACUGAUGAUCGUGUGCCUUCAACAUUUAAUCAGAUCAAGAUGCAAAAGAAUAACCUUUGGAGACAAGCUAGUAACACUCAACCAUGGAUAGCUGAGACUUUCAAAUAUGCUGGGGCAGCCAGCUGAUGAAGGGCAAACACUGCAGAAUUGUAUUCCUGAUGCGGAACAAUGUGGAUUAAAUUAACGUUGCCCCUUUGCAUUUACUGCAAAAAGCUGUAUACCCCCUCAGCACCUCAAGCCGGUGACAGUGUAAUCCUCAAUUCACAAACUGUAAAUUUAGAAAAGAUUGGAAUGUGCAACUGAUCAUACCUUGGAUGUUUACACAUGCUGUUUGAUCCCAAAAUACUGGCUUAUGUCAUUAAUGGCUUGUGUCAUGCUCCUUUCUAGCUCCAAAAGUGGCGAAAGUUUACUGUUUUAACUACAGUAGUGAACUGCUUGAAUAAAAGCAAAAAGGAAGCAAAAAAAAGCAUAAAGGGCACAGUAAAGGAUGAAUGUUUUAUUACUGUGAAGAACAACUGUACUUUGAAUAUAAAACUUGAUGUUACUUUCAGCUCUUGAGAUAACCAAAAUAUGCAUGUUAAUGACCCAACUUAUCUUUCCAUGCCUUCACUAUUACAUACUUGAAUUCUUAUCAUGGCAUAACUGGUCUGUUUCCAGUCAUCCUCACUUCUGGUUCUCAUCCUUCAUGACCCCAGAAGUGCAACAUAAUUAAAAAUAAUUGCUUAUUUAUUUGUUUACCCCAGCCCUUCCUAAUGCAUAUGUACUUAAAUUGGGGACUUUUCCCUCUCAUGCCUAAAGCUGUGGGUAUUAACUAAUACCCUUUUGCUAUUAGUGAAUAUAGCCAUAAUUAAUAUACUUAGUACAGAUUUUACUUCAGUCACUUUUAAUUUUUCAGCAUAUUAGAUUUGAAAUGGUAUCCAACCCUUAAAAAGCUUAUUUUUUCAAGCCUUUAAGUACCAAUUCUUCUUUACGUGCAUGCAAGUUUUAUGGAUAUAUGCAGAGCUGGAGGCAAAGUCUAAACCUUAAUGGUUUAUUUCUCCAUGGAAAAACAUUGAUUUUUGCCAAGCUGCUGAGUACCAUUUGAUAGGGAUGAAUACUACUGAUGCUCAAGGACAAACUGAACAUAAUGCAAAUGCAUGAAUGCAAAGUAGGGCCUUUUUCAAUAUUAUAUGAAGACAAUUGAUUUCUAGAAGUACACCUGAGUAGUUCAGUACCAAAAACUGCACAUCUUAUGUGCCUAUAACUGGUGUUUGGCCAUGGUGAUUUUAUCAUCAUGUAGAGCUGGGUCCUUAUUAACGGAACAAAAUAUUAAUUUUAUUGUAAAAAUCCUGCAUUAAUUUUGCUGUAAGUCAUUUUUGUAUCCAAACCAAACCCCUCUUCACUUAGAGAUGCACUUGAUUGUUGACAGUUCUUGUACACUUCUACUGAUGCCGAACACCAGCAGGGACUAAGCUGAGCACUUAAUGCAUCUGGGGUUUAAAACAAGAAAGAAGAGUGGAUAGCUGUCAAGAAAAUCUCCCAUUUCCUUAUGAAGUAUGGUCAUUGUGGGUUUUGUGCUUGGCAUGCUGUCCCCAACACAAACAAAUUCAGAUUUAUUUUUUUACUAUUAUUUUUCUGAUGGAAAUUUUCUCAGAUGCACGUAUUGCUAAAACCUGGUGACUGAUGGAGUUACCAAACCUAAGUUCUGCUUCAGUGUCCUUAGAGCCCAGCCUGUGACAGACAGUAGGAAAAGACAAAUAUCACUGAAAGCAGCCAGGGAUGAGACAUAUCCCAGUCAGGAAGGCUGGUCUGGACUAACAUGACUGACACACACUGGUCAGGCCUAUGGCAAACAGAUCUAUUCCGGGGACCUCUCACUUGCAAAAGACAUUCUGCAGGACUGAGUUUUUGACAGCCACUUGUCCCGAGGUCCGUCUGCCGGGGUGACCUGCCAUGGUGCUGGACUCGGGGAAGGUGCACGGCUCGUGACGCCGCAGCCGCGCCGCCUCCCCAGGGACGGGACCCGGGGAGGGCUCCUUCCCCUCCUCUGCUGACAAAUUGCACAGCUGUGGUGUUACAUGUCAGCACUUGCAUUGCGGAUCUCCAGAGACAAACCAGGAAUGUUCUGCAUGCCAGACAGUGGCGCUGAGCCAUUACAUUAAGACAACCUUCUUGAGGGAACCAUGGGCCCUGGGUGGACAAGAAGAGCGGGAAAUCCUCUCACGUUCUGACCCACAGCCCUGUAAGGAGAGGCAGACUACUGCAGUGAAGCCAGAUCUACAGCUGAAAGAGAAGAUACCUUGCAAAAAUGUGCUAAAUCCACAAGGCCUUUGCUACACAGAUACUACACUGAUUUCAAACAACUCGCAUGGCAUUCAGAUAAGGUAGGUGAGACUCUAUGUCCCUGGAGUCUGAGGUAUGCUUUCAUCGACAUUCAUGCAGAGCCUGAAGUUAUUUGAUGAUGUUUAUCAUCAUCUGGAACACUGCCAGUGGAAAACAUGAUCUUGCUGACCUGGAAUCUAACUCAGCUCCUGCGACCUAUAUAUUCAGGGUAAGAGUCAACAGACAAAUUCACAUUGACAUUUAAUGCAGAGGAGCAAAAGACACUGAAGUUACCCGAAAUGAUCUGCUCACCUGUGGAGGUCGUCUUCUAAAAUGAGCCUUUCGGUUCAGAACCUACAGUUCCUGAACUAUCACAGCUACUAAUCUUUCUCCAGGUCUUUUCCCUUUAGAAAAGCUAAAAGGGUUUUUUAAGUCAUAUUCCUACCAGGAAUCUGAAGAAUCUCCUUUGGAUUGUAAAAUUAGAUUUGGAAAAUAUUUAUCACAUGGACUGAAAAAUGGCAAAGCAAUCUUGAGAGACAGAUGAUUGUGGAGGGGAAAAAAAAAAAACCCUUUUAUUGUAACCACAGAAGAAAAAUAACCAGUAUUAUCUGUGACAAGAGAUCUGUUUAUUGAAACAUAUGACAUCUAGAAUAGGGAAAAUACAAGAAUAAACAGAACUUUGACUUGAA